UAGGGAAUAUUAGAAAUGGACGAAAGUCUGAUCUAGCAACACCGCGUGUGCGAAGAAGGCCUUCGGGUUGUAAAGCACUUUUUGGAAGGAUUAGGAAGGAAUAUACUUCCAGAAUAAAUCUCGGCUAACUACGUGCCAGCAGCCGCGGUAACACGUAGGAGGCAAACGUUAUCCGGAUUUACUGGGCGUAAAGCGCGUGUAGGUGGUUCUGUAAGUAGGGCGUGAAAGCUCCUGGCUCAACUGGGAGAGGCCGUUCUAAACUACAGAACUAGAGGAUGGUAGAGGGAGGUGGAAUUCCAGGUGUAGCGGUGGAAUGCGCAGAUAUCUGGAGGGACACCAGUGGCGAAGGCGGCCUCCUGGACCAUUCCUGACACUCAGACGCGGAAGCUAGGGUAGCAAACG
Molecule: ribosomal RNA, 402 nt
Filed under: uncultured prokaryote
Description: bacterial SSU rRNA
Rfam family: Bacterial small subunit ribosomal RNA
Source: RNAcentral